Long non-coding RNA from Lynx canadensis (Canada lynx), 2378 nucleotides. RefSeq lists it as uncharacterized. The transcript has 4 exons. The record is from RefSeq and is a predicted model, not a curated record. Lineage: Eukaryota; Metazoa; Chordata; Mammalia; Carnivora; Felidae.
CAGCGGUCAGUGUCAGCAGCACGACGCCAGCCACCCUCUGGAGCUGGAGGCUGGGGGUGGGGGGAGUUCCCAUCUCAAGGCCAUGGGGCUGAGGCCAGUUCUCACCUGCCAGAGGUAGGGAAGGAGCGAACAGUCAAGGCCAUCUGUUCCUGGCCCCAGGUCUGCACCAGGCUCGACUUUCACUGCGAGGAAGCCUUUGGAAACUGCAUCCUGGACCUUUUAUUAGCUCGGAUGGUGGUUUUUAAGAGCUUUAUGGAUGCCUGAACACUAAUAGUGAGCCCUUACCCUGCCCUCACUAAGUACCAGGCACUGUUCUGAGAGCUUUGGUCUGAAUCACCUCACUGAGCGCUCAUAAGAACUCUACAAGAUAGGAGUUAUCCCCAUUUUAUAGAGUGGGAGGGGAGGCCUGGAAAGGGGGCAGAGCUAGGAAUCGAUGCCAUAACUCUGCUCCUGAGCCCCGCCCUUCGCUGCUGGGCCACACUGCCCUAUUGUCCCAGAGCACAGGCUGGAGUGCAGAUUCAGUCUUACUUGUCCACUGGGAAACCAAACGUCCUAGAGAUGAGGCCUGUGGGUGAUUAGCCAGGACAGGUGAUAGCAUGCCAUCAGAAUUGACCAGCCCCUAACUUAGAGCAGGCAGGGGGCUCGUCCAACCCCACCCCCUCCUAAGGUUAGUGCACCCAGAUCUGGAGAGCUUUCCUGGGGUCACGCAGCGAGAAAAUGAUGACACAAGAAUCCAAAGCUUUCUGACAGUCCCUUCAAUUGCUGUGCACUGUCUUUCUUUCUCUAGGAAAGUAAGACUAUGCCCCUGCCCUGGCACCCCAGUCCCAUCCACCUAAGCCCCCACAGUGGACAGCAGGAGUGUUGUUGGUGUCAGGUGGCAGUUAUCUGCUGGAGGUUUCCUGAGGGUCAGGGAGCCAUGUUGACCUGAUCACUAGUUCCUGCCCGCCUAGGGAGCCCCCUCCAUCUGGUAGAGAGGAUUGAGAACUGGAGAUGCUUCAUCCCAUGCCUCCUGGCUCUCCUCCCUCUUGGCUGAAGGCUGGUUGGUGUCUCUGGAGGGUGUUUGACCUGUGGGCCUUGCCCAGAGCUCAGUUUGGGUUGCAUUGGGAUCGAGCCCCCAGCGAGGUCCCAGAGAGGAGUCUCAGGCCUGGAACCGAGAUUGCGGGUUAGACAGGGCUUCACCAGGUAAUCAUUGCUGGUAAUGGCAAAGGCUUUGAAUGAAGUGUCCAAACUGGUUUAACACCCUUUUGGUAUUUCUCUUAUUUUGUGGAUUUAUAUCAUUCACCUACUAAGGACCUCCCUUACCUAAUCUCUAUUCCCUGAGGAAUGAAAGAGUAGAUAAAGUUUUUUGUUUGUUUUGUUUGUUUGAGGGCUGUACUCCUGUCUCCUGGGAUGGCCUCAGCUGGUCCAGCUGAGGGGGGUCUAGCUGAGGGGGAGUCCAGCCCCAGGAGGGCCAGCUCUAGGGCUGCUUGGAUCAAGGCCCAAAGUACCUUCAAUGUUCCUCCUAAAUCUGUGGUUCCAAGAAUAUUAUUUAGCACCUACUGGCAUUCCACCAACAGAAGAUAUAAGAGAAGAAACGUCCUUCGAUUCCUAAUCAAACAACAUCGAUGAAGCAAUUAGUAUAUAGAAGGUGCUAGGCAAGAAGCAUUCUAGUUUCCUGUUGUGGAGGAGUUUACAGUCUGCAAGAAAGAAGUGUAGAGUCUGUCUGCGGGUGGCACCAACAUAGAGGAAGCAAGACCAAGAGGUGAACAUCAGGUGCUUGUGACUUCUUGCAAGACCCUGGUUCAAGCCGUGCCUGAAGACGGACCUACCCUCUGGACUUUUCAACUGUAUGCUCCUGAGGCCUCCUACAGACAGAAUGAAGCUGAACUUGGAUGCAUCCUCUGGGUGAGGCAGCAUAAAAUCGGUCCGGAUGAAAUCCCUCCCUGUUGAUGAAGAUAUCUGCCGCAUCGUCAAAGCCUCUGGCUCUUCUCUGCGGUAGAAUGAAAGAUCCCAACCUGGCUGAGCUCAGGAUGGAAAUGUUUGUGGAACUUUCGGUUAGGUGCUGGUAAAAGGAGCACGCGGCCAGCGCGGUUCUGAAAACCCAGAGGAGCUGGAAGCUGACCUCCGACAGGAGUGGUCAUGUGCACGUUUGUCCAGACUGCAAGAUUUCCUCCCUGGCCUUGGUCUCUGCUCUCUGGAUUCACAUUAUGUUCUGUCCCUCCAGCCCAGCCCCGCCCUUUCCAUGAAGCCUUCCAUAAACUCUGCCAGGCCACCAUGACUGGUGCCUCCUCAACCAGCAGUCACAUCGGGUACACCAUGCCCCAGAAUUCAGCUGCUACGUGCUCCUAGUACUUAGCUGUGAGCCUUCUUUCUUUAAGACGAUGGAAAGCCUGGGGGCA